UAUUUUAGAGGAAGGAGAAGUCGUAACAAGGUUUCUGUAGGUGAACCUGCAGAAGGAUCAUUUGCACAUGUGUAGCCAACUGCAUGCUAAUGAUAUUGUGGGCAACUGUAAGCAUGUAUUGCAAUGGACUUGCACUUGCCCUGGGCAGCAUGAUUUGUUUUUCAAGCAUGUGUGCUGUAGUGUGUGAUGUGUUUUGUAAACUGUUUGCAUUUCUCUAGUUGCUGCAACAAUUAUGUUUUGCAAGGAAUGUCUUAGCUCAAUAAAUGAUGAAGAAUGCAGCAAAAUGCAAUAUGCAUUGCGAAUUGCAGAAUUCCGUGAGCUAACAGAUGUUUGAAUGUUACUUGUACCUUUGGGAUAUUCUUGAAGGUUUGCUUGGUUUAAUGCAAAGUAGCUUUCAUAUACAUUUAAUGCUGAUUAGCAUUGUUGUGAACAAUAAAGGUCAAUGUUUUGCAUUGAACCUGGAUGUCAUACAGUUGUUUACAACCUAAACAUGGUUUCGUGGGGCAGACCUGUUUCGUCAUUUGAUGGUUGAUAUUGUAAAUGUGCACAACUGGGACAAGCUGAAGACUUGCAUAUGCUAAGCGUGAAGUGAAGCACAUAAACCUGCUGAAUUUAAGCAUAUAAGUAAGUGGUGGAAAUUAAACCAAUC
This 649-nucleotide ribosomal RNA is filed under the name Alexandrium tamarense. RNAcentral describes it as "eukaryotic LSU rRNA". The stretch from base 232 to 386 matches the Rfam family "5.8S ribosomal RNA". The record is from RNAcentral. Lineage: Eukaryota; Dinophyceae; Gonyaulacales; Pyrocystaceae.